UUUCUAUGUAUAAAAAUGGGUUCUUUCUAGUUUUCUUUAAUCUAGACAAAAAUGGGAACGUUAGAACACAAUGCCAAGUAUCUUUCCACAAAACUAGUGUUUCUGGUAUCUUGUGCAGGCCUUCUUGGGGCUGUUUUCAUUGCAGAUUUCGUUUGGACCUCAUCUUCGUCUAUUUCUUCUGCUUAUCAAUCCUAUGCAUCCAAUUGGGCUCUUCAGAAGUCUCAGAAAAUUUUGUUUCUCAACGCCACUAACAAGAAAGAUGAUGAGAAAGAAGCCCUUAAAGGUAAAAAGGACCAUCUUGCUGAUAGAUUCUUGCCAGCAACUUUUGCUGAUUUACCAGCACCAAAGUUAGAAUGGGAGCAGAUGCCAUCAGCACCAGUACCUCGUCUCGAUGGCUAUGCAAUGCAGAUCAAGAACCUUUUAUAUGUAUUUG
RNAcentral lists this unclassified non-coding RNA (433 nucleotides) under Hevea brasiliensis (rubber tree). Lineage: Eukaryota; Viridiplantae; Streptophyta; Magnoliopsida; Malpighiales; Euphorbiaceae. The record is from RNAcentral.